RNAcentral lists this long non-coding RNA (229 nucleotides) under Elaeis guineensis (African oil palm). RNAcentral's name for it is "long non-coding RNA (EGUI_LNC009851)". The record is from RNAcentral. Lineage: Eukaryota; Viridiplantae; Streptophyta; Magnoliopsida; Arecales; Arecaceae.
GCCGUGUUAUGUCCCAGAUUUGGGGCAUGACAAUAGUAAGAAGAUACACAUGGUAAUGGGUUAGAAACCAGAAUAGUAAAAAAAGAAGGAUCAAGUGCAACACAUGACAAAGCAAUAAAAGACUCGGGUGUAAAUUGAUUGAGUGAAGAGGCAUGAGUAAGUGCAAUCGAAGGAAAAAUAGUCUCAUAAAAAUUAACUGUCACGUCUCAAAUUCGAGACAUAAUACGGC